CGGGGUUCAAGCCGGAGGCCAUGUCCAUGGCGGACCCCGAGUCCUCUUCUUCGUGCAACCUUUCCGCCUACUGCACGCACCGGACGGACGGCUGUUUUCCCAGCGACACGGAAUCCUGAGGGCACGCCAUGACGGCCUCAUCGCAUCAUCAUCAUAUCUCUGGCGACGUCUGGCGGGGGUCGAGGCACCCUGCGACGAAGCGAUCGCUGCCGUCCAGCACUGUCAAGGAUGUCGCCCUCUAGGCUAUGAAUCGUCCGUGCUCCCAGCUCACACACACCGGGAGGCAUUGCCCCUCCAGCCUCCUUGGGGUCGCACAGUUCCUCUCACGUUGCUGACCAGUGACUCACAGUGACCAAAGACAAUUCGGGAACAAUGACUCUUUGCUCGGCGCACCGACGAACCAAGUGCUCCGUUUCAGACUUAAAGCGGCGGUUGUGACAUUGAACGCUGGACGCUCGACGUCCACUGCCUGGCGUCUUCCGGUGAUAAGUGUUUUCUCACACGGUUCUGUUCGUCCAAAAAAUACAUCCUUAUAUAUUACUGUAUAUAUAAUAAUAAAAAAACUCCAUGCUUUU
Ixodes scapularis (black-legged tick) is the source of this 575-nucleotide RNA transcript. RefSeq lists it as uncharacterized. The transcript is spliced from 2 exons. Lineage: Eukaryota; Metazoa; Arthropoda; Arachnida; Ixodida; Ixodidae. The record is from RefSeq and is a predicted model, not a curated record.